Long non-coding RNA from Gadus morhua (Atlantic cod), 2551 nucleotides. NCBI's taxonomy places the organism in Eukaryota, Metazoa, Chordata, Actinopteri, Gadiformes, Gadidae. The record is from Ensembl.
AUGUUAUGUUAUUUUAUGUUGAUUUUGUUAAAUAGCAGGCCUGCACCUUCUGUUCCUUCGCUAGACCCAGGGAUCACUGCCGUUGUACCGACCGUUGUUAAAGAGAGGGACAUGGUGAGGCUGAUCUGCAAGUCAAAAUGUAUUGGCUAUCCCCCAGCCAACGUGGUAUUGUGGUCACGAGAUGGAAAAGCAGUGGCCAGUCCAACGUUCCAGGCCGGGCUGGACGAUGCAGGGAGUUACCAGUGUGCCUGGGAGGGACUGCAGUCCAACACAGUAACCCUCGAUGUUCAAUACCUUCCACGGAACACAACGGUGUGGGUCGAACCCCAAGGAGAGCUGUUGAAAGGCAAUAGCGUGAACCUGACCUGCAGCAGUGCUGCCAACCCACCCGUACACAACUACACCUGGUGGUGGUACAGUGGUACUGAACCACCCCCCGCCAGCUCCAUGCUGGACCUCAUCGGAACGGGACAGGUGUUGCACCUGGCCUCUCUGGUGACCUCUCAGACAGGAUAUUACCUCUGCCAGGCCACGAAUACUCUGGGGGAGAGCAACUCCUCUGCACUGCUGCAGAUUGAGGGGACCACACUGGGUCUGUAUGUUUAUAUGGAGAGAGAGAGAGAGAGAGAGAGAGAGAGAGAGAGAGAGAGAGAGAGAGAGAGAGAGAGAGAGAGAGAGAGAGAGAGAGAGAGAGAGAGAGAGAGAGAGAGAGAGAGACCCUUCCGAUAGAGGGACAUCCGAUUUGGUUACAUGUUUAGGUUACAUGUGUAGACAACCGAACUUCAACAAGGUAGGCUGAUAAAAUUGCGCACACUAAAAUAAACAUUGUGUUUCAUUGUGUGGAGUAAAUACGCAACCAUUCUGUUCAAUUCAGAUUGACAAGAUUAUAUCCUAUGAACUGCUAGAUUAAGUUGGUGGUCUGUCCCUUGACACGGCCCUGGUCCAUAGCAGUAAUCCCAUCCUACAAAUGACUACCAUUGCUUACGAUUGUUCCUUUCUAACUAUCUUUCAGCAGGCAGAGCAUCUAUAUUCAUCAGAUCUGGAGUAGUAGUCACUGUCCUUGUGGCACUCACUGUGCUGGUUUGCUUUUGUUCACGGUGAGUCUAUCAGACCAAUGAAGGAAGAAUAAACAGUUCUUAGUGAGAUUGAAGGAACAGCCUCGUAGACUGUGGCUAAACGCUGCUUAUUACAAUUGUGGCUACUGUGUAGGGCUGAGGGAAAGGACUGGUCAGGGAGUCCUUUCCCUGACCCAAAUGCAACUCCAAUAACGUGUUAUAGCAUCACAGAUGGUGAUAGUACUGCAGUCCAAUGUGCAAUAGUUGCUUGCCCGUUAUUUAAUUUAAUCUAAAUUCAAAUGAUUUCUCUGAGGAAUUUUUAUUUUCAUGAAAAGCUGAAACCGUCAUUCAGUAAUUAUUCCGUGUUGAUUACGGCCUCUGCUUUUUCUCAACAUUUGAACAGGAAACAACCAAAGACCAAGGAAAACCAACACGUGAGUGCAUAUAAAGUGUAACUUUGUCUUUGUAUACCCACAAAUCACACUUUAGGUUAUUAAUCUAAAGUUAGAUGGACAAGCCCCAGUCUGAGUGAAUGGGGCUUUUCACCGUCUUUCACUUCAUAUUUGUUUCAAUUAUUACACUGUAAAAAAUAAAAAGUUGAGAAAACUCAAAAUUGCAAGGCAACUUACUGCAAUCAAUUUUUGAGUUUUGAGCCCAACAAAAUGUCAUUUUUCUUCUUUAGACAAACGUGAAAGUUAGAGUUAUACCAACCAAGAUUUUAUAUUUUACAAAACUCAAAAAAGUAGGUCAGAGGUUUUAACUUAAUAUUUCAAAUUAAGGUUAAUAUUAUUUAAUAAAAAACAUUUCAAAGAAUGCAAAACUAGUUUUAAGUUCACUUUAAUAAAAUUAAUAAUUGGAAACUUCCAUUUAACAUUUCUGAAUGCCAGACAUCGACAGAACAAGCAACAUGUAGCUAGUUCAGCAGCAGAGAAUCGCAGUCUAAAUGCAGCAAACCAAAAAGCAGAACAAGUUAGACAUUAUGGUCAAACUUGUUCUGCACGAUACGGGAGCCCAGGUUAAACGGUGAUGCAACUCUCGUGCCUCAUACACCGCACGAUCCCGAGAGCUGCCUUUAUUUAACACCCACCCACAACAUACAGCGCACCGCACACCCAACCAACGGACAUGCAAGUCUCGGUAACGGUGGCGGCAACACUACGCACAAUAAACAACACACAAACAAUAAAGACCCCAAACCCGUUAACCCUACUUAACCUAACAGAAACAAAUUGACAAAAGGCAAUAAACCCCUUUUUCCCGACAUCACUAAUACCCAGACUCCCCGGGGGGUAGGAGUCGCCACAAUAUUUACCAUCUGAAAAUUCCGUUAGGAAACCCCGUAUUUUCCAAAGUGUCGAAAUGCGCAGGUGCACCGUAGUUGGCCCAGCCUCAGACAGAAGCUGUGUUCGAAAUCGUUCCCUAUCAUGGAUGUAGUGCACUAAAUAGGGUGCACGCCAUUUUGUAGGGUGUUCGAAUUCUCAGUGGUCCACUGGACA